CCUACGGGAGGCAGCAGUGAGGAAUAUUGGUCAAUGGACGCUAGUCUGAACCAGCCAUGCCGCGUGAAGGAUGACUGCCCUAUGAGUUGUAAACUGCUUUUGUACGAGGGUAAAGUGCGGUACGUGUACCUCUCUGCAUGUACCUUACGAAUAAGGAUCGGCUAACUCCGUGCCAGCAGCCGCGGUAAUACGGAGGAUUCGAGCGUUAUCCGGAUUUAUUGGGUUUAAAGGGUGCGUAGGCGGGGUGUUAAGUUAGUUGUGAAAGUCCGCGGCUCAACCGCGGAAUUGCCUUUGAUACUGGCAGGCUAGAGAGGAGUAGAGGUAGGCGGAAUGUGUGGUGUAGCGGUGAAAUGCUUAGAGAUCACACAGAACACCGAUUGCGAAGGCAGCUUACCAGACUGCAACUGACGUUGAGGCACGAAAGCGUGGGGAGCAAACAGGAUUAGAUACCCCUGUAGUC
RNAcentral lists this ribosomal RNA (460 nucleotides) under uncultured bacterium. RNAcentral describes it as "partial 16S ribosomal RNA". It matches the Rfam family "Bacterial small subunit ribosomal RNA", at positions 338 to 795 of the family's 1533-position model. The record is from RNAcentral.